Molecule: ribosomal RNA, 207 nt
Filed under: uncultured bacterium
Lineage: Bacteria
Description: partial 16S ribosomal RNA
Rfam family: Bacterial small subunit ribosomal RNA
Source: RNAcentral
CGAGUAGGCGGUUAGGUAAGUGGAAUGUGAAAUCCCUCGGCUCACCCGAGGACCUGCAUCCCAAACUGCCUAGCUUGAGUAUGGGAGAGGAUGAGGGAAUUCCUGGUGUAGCGGUGAAAUGCGUAGAUAUCAGGAGGAACACCGGUGGCGAAGGCGCUCAUCUGGCCCAAUACUGACGCUGAUGCGCGAAAGCUAGGGGAGCGAACG